Molecule: non-coding RNA, 633 nt
Organism: Rattus norvegicus (Norway rat)
Lineage: Eukaryota; Metazoa; Chordata; Mammalia; Rodentia; Muridae
Source: RefSeq, a predicted model, not a curated record
ACUGUUUUUUUUAUAGGGAUUCAAACCCCUUCAGCUCCUUCAGACCUUUCUCUAACUCCUCUGUUGGGGACCCCAUUCUCAGUCCAGUGGUUGGCUGCGAGCAUCUGUCUCUGUAUUUUUCAGGUUCUAGCUGAGCCUCAGGAGACAAUUAUAUCAGGCUCUUGUCAGCAUGUACUUCUUGGCAUCCACAGUAUUGUCUAGGUUUAGUGUUUGCAUAUGGGGUGGAUUCCCCCAGAGGGGAAGUCUCUUGAUGGCUUUUCUUCAGACUCUGCUCCAUAUUUUGUCUCCCUAUUUCCUCCUGUAGUAUUUUGUUCCCCUUUCUAAGAAGGGCUUAAGCAUCCACACUUCGGUCUUCCAUUGAGCUUCAUGUGUGUAGGGAGCUGCGACAUGCCGCGCCUCAAAGAUGGGGCUGGUUUCCGGUUUCCGCCUUCCACCCUCCCAACGCUCAGCUUGUACGAAGACAUGAAGAAACUCACCUUCAGUCAUGCAGAUGAUUGUGACCACACUCUAGAAAAUAAUGUAAGAGCACAAUGGAAGUAUGAAGUCCCUGAGAGACUUCACAGAACAGAGCAAUCUGUCUGACCUAGUGUGACUGUAACAUGACUGGAAAAUAAGCAAACUGAAGUUCAUGUA